Molecule: long non-coding RNA, 667 nt
Filed under: Spirodela polyrhiza (greater duckweed)
Lineage: Eukaryota; Viridiplantae; Streptophyta; Magnoliopsida; Alismatales; Araceae
Description: long non-coding RNA (SPOL_LNC000603)
Source: RNAcentral
GGGAAUCGAUUUGCGACGUGGAAGUUUGUGUCCGUUACGGGCAGCACCAACCAACGGGCUUCGCCGGUGGACCGGUCAAAUCGGCCGGCGCCCGGUGACGGAGGAGGAGAAAGCAGAUUAAUUCAAUCGCGCUCCACGGGAGGGCGAGGAGCCUCCGGCGGCCAAGGGCAGCGGCGAUCCCCCGUGGCUUCCUUGUUGGUCCCGUUGAAUCCACAGGGUGGCGGGGACUGACAGACCAGAGCGCCAGUUGCUUGAUCCGCCGAGGGAGAGAGGGACGGAGUCGGCCCUGGUCGCUCGAUUUAUUUGCCGGGACUGGGAGAAGUAAAUGCACCGCUUCCUCCGGCUGCCUCCCGUCCGAUCAACAACAAGACCGAAUAUUAAAUUCCCUGCGAUGCCGAGGGAAGGGAAGGCGAGGGGAAGGACGGACACCUAUGCUCUUGCCAGUGACGUCCAGCCUGGCAGAGUCAAAUCUUCACCUCGCCUCCGCUCGGAAUAAUUCCACUCCACUCGCAUUAACUCCUUCGCCUCCCCCCCCUUCCCGCGAUCGCGCCCGCAGGAACGCCCCUCCGCCGCGGCGCCGCCUCGUUGCCGGCCGGUGGGAGGGCCGCCACGGCCCGCGCCCAUCUCCCGGCUGAUGCCGGUCGCCGGAUGGCUUCCUGCGAAAAAU